Molecule: ribosomal RNA, 843 nt
Filed under: Backeljaia najerensis
Lineage: Eukaryota; Metazoa; Mollusca; Gastropoda; Stylommatophora; Geomitridae
Description: partial 16S ribosomal RNA
Source: RNAcentral
AUUACUGGAUUAUAUUUCACGAAGGGGGUCGAGCUAAUUAAUAAAGCAUUAUAGUGUUGAUUUUAUAUGUUGCAAAAUAUAAAGCAUAUUAUUAAUUAGGGGUGAUAGGCUUUACAAGACUCCCUAUAUCUUGUUUUUUAGGAAAUAUAUUAAGUAUAUAAUCCAAUCUUGAAGUGGCAAGGCUUCUUGGGAUUACAAAUUUAAAUUUACUGGAGUGUGAUUUAUUUAACAAUACUUGUUUUACUCUUAACAACAUAAAGUCUUAAUUAUUGUAUAAAUUACUAAAAUUUACGUGUAAUCAAUAAAGGUAUUAUUACUGUUGAUAUUAGUAUUAUAUUAUUCCCCUUAUAGGAACUCGGCAAAUAACUUCUCAACUGUUUACCAAAAACAUAGCUAGACGAUAUAAUGUUUGGUUAUUUCUGCUCAAUGAUAGUUUAAAUAGCCGCAGUACCCUGACUGUGCAAAGGUAGCAUAAUCAUUUGGCUUAUAAUUGAAGUCUGGCAUGAAGGAAUAAAUGGGAAGAAACUGUCUUUAAUGGGACUAUAGAAUUUAAUUAGCAAGUGAAAAUUCUUGCACAUAAAUAAUAGACGAGAAGACCCUAGAAAUUUUUUUAUAAUGUGAUACUAACUAUUAUAAUUAUUUUGUUGGGGCGACAGAAUAACAGAAAACUUAUUUUAAUUAUUAGAACUUUAUAUUGAGUAAAAAGAAAUUACUCUAGGGAUAACAGCAUAAUUUAUCAAAGUUUGUGACCUCGAUGUUGGACUAGGGAUCUUAAUAUUUAGAAGAUACUAAGCCAGGCUCUGUUCGAGCCGUAAUCCCUACAUGAUCUGAGUUCAGACCGGC